RNAcentral lists this ribosomal RNA (253 nucleotides) under uncultured bacterium. Its description in RNAcentral is "partial 16S ribosomal RNA". It matches the Rfam family "Bacterial small subunit ribosomal RNA", at positions 524 to 776 of the family's 1533-position model. The record is from RNAcentral.
UACGGAGGGUGCGAGCGUUGUUCGGAAUCACUGGGCGUAAAGCGCGUGUAGGCGGCCCACUAAGUCUGAUGUGAAAGCCCGGGGCUCACCCCCGGAAGUGCAUUGGAAACUGGUGGACUAGAGUCCCGGAGAGGAGAGUUGAAUUCCUGGUGUAGCGGUGAAAUGCGUAGAUAUCAGGAGGAACACCGGUGGCGAAGGCGGGUCUCUGGGCAGUAACUGACGCUGAGGAGCGAAAGCGUGGGGAGCGAACAGG